This 599-nucleotide ribosomal RNA is filed under the name Meyerozyma guilliermondii. RNAcentral describes it as "partial 26S ribosomal RNA". It matches the Rfam family "Eukaryotic large subunit ribosomal RNA", at positions 64 to 628 of the family's 3401-position model. The record is from RNAcentral. Lineage: Eukaryota; Fungi; Ascomycota; Pichiomycetes; Serinales; Debaryomycetaceae.
ACUUCAGGCAUUGCCUUAGUAGCGGCGAGUGAAGCGGCAAAAGCUCAAAUUUGAAAUCUGGCGCCUUCGGUGUCCGAGUUGUAAUUUGAAGAUUGUAACCUUGGGGUUGGCUCUUGUCUAUGUUUCUUGGAACAGGACGUCACAGAGGGUGAGAAUCCCGUGCGAUGAGAUGCCCAAUUCUAUGUAAGGUGCUUUCCAAGACUCUAGUUGUUUGGGAAUGCAGCUCUUAGUGGGUGGUAAAUUCCAUCUUUUUCCUCUUUUUUGCAAAGACCCUGUUCGCCAACAAAUUCAGGGGUGGAAUUAAGAUUAGAUUUUUUUAACAACCUGAUAAAGUCGGUUUACUUGUUAAACGGGAAGGUUUUAAAACCCUUUCCUAUAAUUGGGCCCCUUCCCUUCAGGGAAUUCUCCCCCCCGGUGAAUCCUGGUCCCAUCAGUUUGGGCAGAACCAAACCCCAGGGUGAAUGUCUCUUUAUUUCAGUGAGAACCAUAAGGUGCCUAAUUGCAAAUUGGACCUUUGGCCGCUUCACUCCCCGCUACUGAGGCACUCCUGUUGUUUUCAUUCCCCCCGCUUAUAGAUAUGCACAAAAACAAUAAGCGAC